UCUGCUUAUAUAGUUUAGCUUGGCGCGUGUUCUGACGCGCCAACGGGUGACUUGGCUACCGGGUAGUUCACCCACUCUUCAUCUCUGUAGAGGGGUUGGUUGUCCUCCCUACUAUCAUGAAUUUUCACACCCGAAUUUGGGUUGAGCAUCGUGCCCGUGUCGUGCAAGCAUCACUAUGUCCCGUAUCAUCGUCGGGAUUCCCGCCAAUUUCUGGG
Molecule: long non-coding RNA, 215 nt
Filed under: Actinidia chinensis (golden kiwifruit)
Lineage: Eukaryota; Viridiplantae; Streptophyta; Magnoliopsida; Ericales; Actinidiaceae
Description: long non-coding RNA (ACHI_LNC003565)
Source: RNAcentral